AUGAGACUCCCUAAGUCGAGAGGUGGUAUGGGAUUUCGGGAUAUGCGGGGUUUUAACCAAGCAUUGUUGGCCAAACAAGAUUGGCGUCUUUUGAACUCCCCGCAUAGUUUGUGUGCUCGCCUAUUAAGAGCUAAAUACUAUCCAAAUGGUAACCUGUUGGAUACAAUUUUUUCAGACAACGCAUCGGUUGUGUGGAAGGGUAUUGAGUAUGGCCUGGAGUUGGUUAAAAAAGGUAUCAUUUGGCGGGUUGGUGACGGUUCGUUGAUUAGAACUUGGAGGGAUCCAUGGAUUCCUAGAGGCACAGAUUUUCGACCCGUCACGCCGAAACGUAACUGUCGCUUCAACUGGGUUGCGGAUUUUUUGGAUCAGAAUGGAGCUUGGAAUACUCAAAGGUUACAGGAACAUUUUUGGGAGAUGGAUAUCCGGAAAAAUGUUAAAAUUCGGACAUCACCAAGAAAUAGACAAGACUUUUUUGCUUGA
Molecule: ribosomal RNA, 480 nt
Filed under: Triticum aestivum (bread wheat)
Lineage: Eukaryota; Viridiplantae; Streptophyta; Magnoliopsida; Poales; Poaceae
Description: partial small subunit ribosomal RNA
Source: RNAcentral